CGGCCCCCGUAACUUCGGGAGAAGGGGGGCCGGAUACGUUACAUCCUUCUCGGGUGGAAGCGUUGAUGGCCGCAGAGACCAGGCCCAAGCGACUGUUUACUAAAAACACAGGUCCGUGCGAAGAAGUAAUUCGAUGUAUACGGACUGACGCCUGCCCGGUGCUGGAACGUUAAGGGGACAGGUUAGCUGGUUUAGGCCGGCGAAGCUUUGAACUUAAGCGCCAGUAAACGGCGGUGGUAACUAUAACCAUCCUAAGGUAGCGAAAUUCCUUGUCGGGUAAGUUCCGACCUGCACGAAUGGCGUAACGACUUGGGCGCUGUCUCAACCGUGGACUCGGCGAAAUUGCAUUACGAGUAAAGAUGCUCGUUACGCGCAGCAGGACGGAAAGACCCCGGGACCUUUACUACAACUUGGUAUUGGUGGUCGGUACAACUUGUGUAGGAUAGGUGGGAGACUUUGAAGCUCGGACGCCAGUUCGGGUGGAGUCAUCGUUGAAAUACCACUCUGGUUGUUCUGGCUGUCUAACUUAGGUCCAUUAUCUGGAUCAGGGACAGUGCCUGGUGGGUAGUUUGACUGGGGCGGUCGCCUCCUAAAAGGUAACGGAGGCGCUCAAAGGUUCCCUCAGCCUGGUUGGCAAUCAGGUGUCGAGUGUAAGUGCACAAGGGAGCUUGACUGUGAGACAGACAUGUCGAGCAGGGACGAAAGUCGGAACUAGUGAUCCGGCGGUGGCAUGUGGGAGCACCGUCGCUCAACGGAUAAAAGGUACCCCGGGGAUAACAGGCUGAUCUUCCCCAAGAGUCCAUAUCGACGGAAUGGUUUGCACCUCGAUGUCGGCUCGUCGCAUCCUGGGGCUGGAGUAGGUCCCAAGGGUUGGGCUGUUCGCCCAUUAAAGCGGCACGCGAGCUGGGUUUAGAACGUCGUGAGACAGUUCGGUCCCUAUCCGCUGCGCGCGCAGGAGAAUUGAGAAGGGCUGCCCCUAGUACGAGAGGACCGGGGUGGACGAACCUCUGGUGUGCCAGUUGUUCCGCCAGGAGCACGGCUGGUUGGCUACGUUCGGAAGUGAUAACCGCUGAAAGCAUCUAAGCGGGAAGCACGCUUCAAGAUGAGUUCUCCCACCGGGUUAACCGGGUAAGGCCCCCAGUAGACCACUGGGUUGAUAGGCCAGAGGUGGAAGCACCGUAAGGUGUGGAGCUGACUGGUACUAAUAGGCCGAGGGCUUGUCCC
This 1224-nucleotide ribosomal RNA is filed under the name metagenome. Its description in RNAcentral is "bacterial LSU rRNA". It matches the Rfam family "Bacterial large subunit ribosomal RNA", at positions 1722 to 2925 of the family's 2925-position model. The record is from RNAcentral.